This 311-nucleotide long non-coding RNA is filed under the name Chrysolophus pictus (golden pheasant). Its description in RNAcentral is "lncRNA (ENSCPIG00010007906.1)". The record is from RNAcentral. Lineage: Eukaryota; Metazoa; Chordata; Aves; Galliformes; Phasianidae.
CAACGGCUCAGAUGGAGCCCCAGGUGUCCCAGGUCAAAAGGGAGAACCAGGACUAAAUGGAAAGAGAGGAAAAAUGGGUGUGCCAGGACCAAAAGGUGACCAAGGGGAGAAAGGAGAACCUGGAGAAAUAGGUUUACCUGGCAAGGAUGGUAUGCCUGGUGUGAAAGGUGCAAGAGGAGCAAAGGGAGAAAAGGGGGAUGCAAACAACGAUGUGAUGUUGGAAGGUGCAAAAGGUGAACCUGGACCACCAGGCCCCCCUGGGCCUCCUGGACCUCCAGGGCCUCCAGGAAAACGUAAAGGUAAAACACAGC